GAUUAUAGAACAUUUAUGCAAUAUAAAGAGGAGAAACAGGAAAGGGAGGGACCCAUAAAAGACUAAACAAAAAGCCAUUCAUACAGUAGCUCAGCAAAUUUAAGGAAUGUUCAUUACAGAGCAAAAAUUUUACUCAGAGAAGAAAACAUACCAUAGACACUUGUUUUGGAAGUAGGAUACAUCAGAGGAAGACCUUGAGAGUGAGGGUAGCUGUUCCUCUCCUGGAAGAUAAGGCACCUGAAUUCUGGAACGGGUUGCUGGUAAUGGAGCCUGUUACUGUGGGGGAGGAGCUUCUUUUGCUUUCUUGUUAAAAAGUCUGUUGGUGUUUUUCUCAAUCUCAGCACUCUCUGCACUUUGACUGUGCUCCCCUUUGUUUUCAGAUUGUACAUGCGUAGAUGAGUCGAAAAACACAGUUUUUCAUGGCGCUCUAGUGGCUGUGCUGGCUCAUUUACCAGAAGUAAUGUACAGUGCAUUAACUCUGGAAGUGUAAACUCGAUUUUGACCAAACUAAGCCUCCCAGAGCAAAAUAUACAUUAGGAGGCUUUGUAUUGUGUCCUAGGCAUCUUAUUU
Molecule: long non-coding RNA, 570 nt
Organism: Podarcis raffonei (Aeolian wall lizard)
Lineage: Eukaryota; Metazoa; Chordata; Lepidosauria; Squamata; Lacertidae
Exons: 2
Source: RefSeq, a predicted model, not a curated record